Non-coding RNA from Vicugna pacos (alpaca), 1804 nucleotides. NCBI's taxonomy places the organism in Eukaryota, Metazoa, Chordata, Mammalia, Artiodactyla, Camelidae. The record is from RefSeq and is a predicted model, not a curated record.
CAGGCCUGCUUCCUGCACUGUAUCUUCUUUCUGCCACUUACUGUCUUCUGGCACAGACCAUAUAACUGCUAUUUCAAAAUGCUAUUGUUUCUGUCUUCUGAUUCUAACUCUCUCCCCGACAGCCCUUCUGAAAUGGGAAGCCAAUGCACCUGUCCCCCUGGAGUCUGCUGGCUGUUCGGAUAAACAUCCUGUUUCUUCAACCAUUUUGCUCCCCAUUAGGGUUGCUAGAUUUAGGAAAAGAUUUAUUAAGACAGGACAUCCAGGAAAUUUAAAUUUCAAGUAAUGAAUAAUUUUUUAGUGUUAAGUACAAUCUAUGCAGUAUUGGGGACAAUCUUAUAAUAAAAAUUAUGUGUUGUUUCUCUGAGAUUCAAAUUUAACUGAAUGUCCUCUAUUUUAUCUGAUAACCCCACCUACCCCCCUACCCCCACCCCCACCACAUCCUGGCUAACCUCUCUGGGGGGUGCUGGCAAAGUUUCAAGAACAUGGAGGGUCUCCUUUCAGUGCAGGGCGGCUUUAAUGGGCAGCCCCUAACCACCUCACCGCCUGCCUCACCCUGGCAGCCCGCAGGCUCCCCACCCUCACGCCUGUGGCCAGUUUAUGCUGGAGGAGGGGCGGCUCGUUCUCCGCACGGACCUUGUUCACUGUCUCUGGCUCCCAUUCCAGCCCCAGGCAGGUUGCUGAUCUCUCCACUCCUUGGUCACGCUGUUCAUUACCACCAUUCAGCCACUUGGCCUUUGUUUCUGGGCAUCUAGAACACAAUUUAUUCUUCUCUUCCACCCUUAAAUGGGGGCUCUGGGAAAGGAGCCAAGGAUUUGUGAAGGGUCCCUGAAAGCUCCACCUGCCCUGCCUGCCUCCUGCGGCUGGCCUCACACCUGUAGGGUGGAUGUGACCUGCUCCACGCCACAGGCAGUGGCUCCUGGACUCUCCCCAAGAAGUCCUCUGCUGAAGAAGGAAGCCAUCUGAAAAUCCCAGCCAUGGCCCCCAUGGGCCUGUGUUCACGGCCCACUCUGUACCAGCAGAAAGCUCAGUCAGCACCUCUGUCCACUCCGGGGCUGCAGAGGAGACAAAUGACUUUUACACUGUUGCAGAGCAAACAGAAGCUCGGUAUGGACCCAGUUGCAUAGGCAAUGCUGUGAAGUUUUCCCAGCUCUUUCAGGGCCUCUGGGAGCUGGAAAGUCUUUGGGUCCCUAAGGAAGGGAGUUCAAUGGCGGAAGGGAGCCGGGGAGACUGUGGGCCAGGGAUCGUCCACAGCAAACAUGCAGACUUUAAAAAAAUGAAGACACUCUCCAUAAACUGAUAUAGAGUGAUUCAGGAUUUGUUGGACAAAGGAAGCAGAGCUGUCCUGCUGAGGAGACUGUGAGAAGGAGAUGAGACGAAGGGGGAAGUCGUUUAUCUUCCCAGCCUCUCCUGCUUGGGGGAUUUUUCUGGCGUGUGACGGAGGAAGAGGAAGCCAACACGAGAGCCUUGGAGGAGGAGGGCUCUGUAGCUCCUGUCCCUAGUACCGCUCUGCCCCUGUCCCCCAGCCACCUGCCUCUAAUCUAUUUAACGCCUCUUCAUUGCUGUUUUUGCGGGUUUUUUUAAUAACUUUUCUCAGCUCAGGUCCCCGGGGCCUUCUUGGUGAAUGAAAAGCUCUCAGGGUCUCAGUCGCAGUAGCCCCUGGUGCUGGCUGGGCUGUUCCCCUGGAGGGGACACAGCUUCAAGGUCAGGCUGACGCCAGCUGACCUUGAAAGCUUCCCGUGCCUCCCCUGACGUGCCUCCACGCUCCAAGCUCAGUGAGCUCCAUCACAUUAAAAAGCUGUUAAAA